Molecule: ribosomal RNA, 386 nt
Filed under: uncultured bacterium
Lineage: Bacteria
Description: bacterial LSU rRNA
Rfam family: Bacterial large subunit ribosomal RNA (bases 1-225)
Source: RNAcentral
AAACACAGCUCUCUGCUAAAUCGAAAGAUGACGUAUAGGGGGUGACACCUGCCCGGUGCUGGAAGGUUAAGAGGAAGGGUGCAAGCUCUGAAUUGAAGCCCCAGUAAACGGCGGCCGUAACUAUAACGGUCCUAAGGUAGCGAAAUUCCUUGUCGAGUAAGUUCCGACCUGCACGAAUGGCGUAACGAUGGCCACACUGUCUCCUCCCGAGACUCAGCGAAGUUGAAGUGUUUGUGAGAAACCGCACACUGGGGCCGCCGCUCGAGAACAACCCCGAGAUUCCCCCGUCAUCGAGAGAUGAGGGCCUUCGUCUCCUGCAUGGCCUAGAGACCAAUCUGGCGACCUCUCUCCAAACCCGACUUCCCUGGCGCCCCGUCGACGCGGCC